CAGCCGCCGCGGUAAAACGGAGGGGGCUAGCGUUGUUCGGAAUUACUGGGCGUAAAGCGCACGUAGGCGGCUUGGUAAGUUAGAGGUGAAAGCCCAGGGCUCAACCCUGGAAUUGCCUUUAAGACUGCCGAGCUAGUAGGUGAGAGAGGUGAGUGGAAUUCCGAGUGUAGAGGUGAAAUUCGUAGAUAUUCGGAAGAACACCAGUGGCGAAGGCGGCUCACUGGCUCAUUCUAGACGCUGAGGUGCGAAAGCGUGGGGAGCAAACAGGAUUAGAUACCCCCGUAGUCCCUGUCUCUUAUAC
This 301-nucleotide ribosomal RNA is filed under the name uncultured bacterium. Its description in RNAcentral is "partial 16S ribosomal RNA". It matches the Rfam family "Bacterial small subunit ribosomal RNA", at positions 509 to 807 of the family's 1533-position model. The record is from RNAcentral.